This is a long non-coding RNA of Aquila chrysaetos chrysaetos, 1444 nucleotides long. RefSeq lists it as uncharacterized. The transcript is spliced from 4 exons. NCBI's taxonomy places the organism in Eukaryota, Metazoa, Chordata, Aves, Accipitriformes, Accipitridae. The record is from RefSeq and is a predicted model, not a curated record.
CGGUCUACAUCCAGAAGUCUCCGGUUUGUUGGUACUGGUGUAAAUAGCUACCAAAGGGUGAAGACUGAGGUAAUGAGCAAGAUCACAACGAAACCCUACCGGUUCAGCAGUAUGUAUCCACCAUGUAGAGGGUAAACGUGAUGAGAGGAUGUUAGCACAGAAGUAACAACUCGGAGAUGCCUCGUCUUAACAGGAGAUUUUAAAGCUGAGAAUAGUCUACCGUGGGCUGAAGGCACAUGGUGAAAACAUGGAAAGCAUGAAGGCGCAUGGUGAAAACAUGCACAAUGGGAGUGAUGCAGAGAAGAUGGCACUGAAUUAUGUGUAUGUCCUGGAACUUCAUGCUAUGAGGGAUUUUGGGUUAUUGGACAUUCUAGAGAUACUUGUCGUUCCACUGUCUCUUCAAGGACUUAGGACUUGGCCAAUUUUAACUUUUGGAAGUUGAAAGCAAGCCUUCCCUGAAGGCAGGGUAACUCAUUAAGAACUGCUGCAGGAUUGCUCUGCACCUUCUAGUACACCAGUUUUGAGGAAGCAUCCCACAACAUCUAAAAGUCACACUUUUACCCAUGUGUUUAUGGAAAAUGGUUGAGUAAGACUGAAGGAAAUUUGUAAGUAUGGAAAGGGUAGAGUAAUCUUUUUGUGAAAAUUGCAGUUUGACAAAGGUAACAGUCUUUAAAGAAGAGUUUUGGUUUUUUGGUGAGGGAAAAAAAGCCACUGUGAAAAAGCCUAUCUUGGAGUCACCACUGAACACACAGGGAAGGCAUAAGCUCUCUCGAUGCUUCCACUCGAAAGGUGGCAAAGACAUCUCCAAUAAUGCUACCUAAUAUGGAUACAUCCAUCAACACAGAUUCAAGAUGAGCUCCCACAUCCAUCAGCGGCUCUGGAGGCGGCGUGGGCGUUGCCGUGGGCACCUGCGGGAGAUUUAAACGCGGCGUAACCGCCAGCAGCGUUCAGUUGGCGGCGAGGCCAGCGGAGGCGACGGUGGAGAACAAAGAGCUAACUCUUCCUCUUGGAAGCCACAAGAAUUUGUGAGAACAGAGAUGAUGUGGGAAACCUUGUGCACUCUCUUCUGGGUGACGUCAAGAGCAUUGCCAAACCUACCAUGUAAAAAGUACUCCAGAUAGUGAGGUGUGAAUGUGGCAGUCAGCUCCUUCAUCACCAUUUCAAGCAUUCUCAGAUCAUUGGCUUUGCAGGAUAUUUCACUGAAGGAAUGAGAACAAAUCAACUACAAACUUGCAUGGAAAAAGCACACAAGUUUUAGAUGUCAAUCUCCAAUUACCAGUGACUGAAAGGGCAAAGGACCCCACUCCAGUGCCACAGUCAAUAUUCCUCACAGUCUGGUCCCAUGUGCCGACGGGCUGGAGCACAGGAAUUGUCCUCCUGGAGUACCUUUCCGAUGUUGGUUUCACCCCAAAGUCUGAUGCCUAUGCUCUGACCUGCAGUGCAA